Non-coding RNA from Camelina sativa (false flax), 1311 nucleotides. Lineage: Eukaryota; Viridiplantae; Streptophyta; Magnoliopsida; Brassicales; Brassicaceae. The record is from RefSeq and is a predicted model, not a curated record.
UUUUUAAAUCUGUAGUAAACCAAACUUUAAUUUAAUAUUUGAGGGGGGUCUGAAAUUUAACUAAAGCACCAAACUUGUAACACGAUUGAGAAAAACCGAUGAUUUUUUCGAUUAAACCGGUUUCACUUUCCUUAACCGCAAUCGCCGGCGGAAGACGAUCGGUUCCGGGAAAGCUUCAAUUUUCACCCUUACCCAUCAUCGGAAACUUCCAAAAGCCUAAUCCUUUCCCUCAAAAGCCACUUUUGUCUACUCAGAGUUUGUCCAAUUUCACUUCGGCGGCGCAGUAGCGGAGGAGUGAUGUUUUUUAAGGGUUGGAGCUUAAGAAAGGGAUGAAGUCAAUGAGUGGGAUGAAUUAAUCCGCCAUUGCGAUUCUUGGGAACUUGCAUCUAUUCUCAGGCGAAGCAGUGAGGGAGUUGAAAGGAGCUGUUUUCACAGGGAAGUUUGAUACUUUGAUUCACCGGUCAAGUAUUUUAGCUUUCAUUAGUAUUGUUGCUUGAUGAAUACGUCUGCUUAGUUCUUUUGAGUGAAGCUUGAAGAGUGAAAUGAAUAUAUCUAUAAAAUUCUGGAAUCUUGAAGGUGAAUUUUGUGCAGAUUCAACGUUUUCUAGAUUAAGGGUGGAAGUACUGAUCGAACUGUGUGAUGAUGAUUUCGAUUAUUCAGGUGGCAAGUGACACAUAAGUCUCAUACAUAUAUCCCUAGACCAGAUUUAAUUGACAUUAAGCGUUGGAAACACAAUGAAGCGGAUCUCAAGCACUGUCGCCUCUAGCAUCAUCUUCCAAAACCUGUCAAUGCCCCUUGAUGCUGCCAUUGCAAUUCUUGGAACUUUCCUCUAUUCGCAGGUCAAAAGGAGUGAAGAUAAUAGACCAUUUUCACAGUCUGUGCAAGGCUUCUUUCUCAUUAAUUGUCUGCCUUUUAGAUGGGAACAAGAGAGGCAAACGCAAACGCACAAAGGCAAAGCAGUGAGGAAGUUGGAGUGGUUUUCACUGGGGAGUUUGAUGCACCAAUACUGAGAGCUGAGGAGAGAAGAAGAUUCAUGUUAAGAUCUCAGAAGGGUAACGUAAUCGUUGGAUCUGAGCAAAUGGAGUUGGAAGAUCAACGCCUUAACAUCUUUACUUACUCUUGAAUAUCACUUUGGUCUUAUAGCUCCACCCAUUUAAACUCUAUUGAAUAUCACUUUCGUUUUUACUCCUAGCUACUAGCUAGAUUCCUAGUGUGCUAUCUUCAGAUAAGUAAACAAAUGCAGAUUAACUUAUUCAUAUGCACAUGCAUGCAUAUAACUAUUAUCUUCGAGUUUUAAGAAAUUUUAUUAUU